UCGCCAUCGUCAAGCUUGUGCUGUCAACUAAUAUUACUUCUGAGACUUGAGUUCUUCUACUCUCUUUUCAGUUUCCCUCAAUGCUUUCCCAUAGAUUCUAAUCAACUCGUCAAGUUCUUCUGGAGUAACUACAAAUGGAGGAGACAUCAUGAUGGUAUCACCAGCAACUCGUACCAACAUGCCAUUCUUCUGACAUUGCGCUCCAAAAUAUGCACCAACACCCCAUUCGGGAGGGAAAGGAUCAUUAGGAGAUUUGUUGUUCGCAAACUCUGUGGCAAGGAUCAAACCAAGUCCCCUAAUCUCUCCGAUAAUGGGACUGUCAGAAAAUGCCUUCAGACCUUCUUGAAACUUUGGGGAUAUUCUAUUUACUCUCUCAACCAUAUUUCGCUCCUUGUAGAUUUUAAUAGCUUCCAAUGCCACUGCGCAUGCAACAGGAUGCCCAGAAUAAGUGAAUCCAUGGGAAAAGGAACCAAGUUUAUUGCUUUGAGAAUGAAUUACAUCAGAAACUUCGGGGCUUACGAGGACAGCUCCAAUAGGCAUAUAUGCAGAAGAAAGAGCCUUUGCUAAGGUGACAAGAUCAGGUUUGAUGUUAUACAUGUCAGAGCCAAACAUUGUUCCAAGCCUCCCAAAGGCACAGAUGACCUCAUCCGCAAUGAAAAGAAUGUCAUAUUUCUUCACUACAGCUUGGAUCUUAUGAAAAUAGGUAGCUGGAGGAGGUAUGACACCUCCUGCCCCCAUGACUGGUUCAGCAAUAAAAGCAGCUAUUGUUUCAGGCCCCUCUUUGAGGAUAAGAUCUUCUAAAUUUUUAGCCAACCUGGUGGAGAACUCCUCCUCUGUCUCACCUGGCAGAUGAUAACGCCAAUAAUGAGGACAGUCGGUGUGAAGAACAAAUGGAGCAGGAAGAUCAAAAUUUUGAUGUAAUGCAGGAAGGCCAGUGAGACUGGCAGAAAUAAGAGUUGAACCAUGAUAUGCUUUUGCUCGAGCUAUAAAUUUCUUUUUGUUUGGCCUUCCAAGAGCAUUGUUAUAAUACCAGACCAGCUUCACCUGGGUAUCAUUGGCUUCUGAUCCACUAUUGGUGAAAAAAGCUUUUGCCAUUUUCGUUGCAGUGAACAUAUCUAGAAGCUCCUUCGCAAGAUCCAAAGAAGGUUUUGUUGUACGGUUCCAAAAUGAAUGGUAAAACGGCAAUGUGUUUAAUUGCUUAGUGGCAGCAUCAACCAGGCGAGGCUCGUUCCCCCCUAGUGCUGUGCACCACAAACCAGCUAGAGUAUCAAUAUACUUCCUCCCUUGCAUGUCAUAGACAUGGGAUCCCUCAGACUUCUCUAUAAUCAAAGGAUCAACAUCAGUACUUUGCCACCCAGCAGUGAAGGGUGCCAACAUAUCAUGACCCUUGAACCCUUUAUUAUCAGUUCCAGAAAUAUCAUUUUCCAAACAUGCCUGUGUACUGUUAUAUCUUGCCGGUGUUGAUUUAACAAUAUGCUCCUGUAAACUGCUAACUGCUGGAAUACGUUUUCCAUGGAAACCAGCCUGGGCGGUGAUAGCUGCUUUCACGGUGGAUCCAAAAAGACGAGAAAUCUUAGCCAUUUGAUAAAAUCCUUCGAAUCAAUUUGUUGUUUAAUUACAAAUCAAAUAUUGUAAAAAUAAAACAUGCAUAGAAAAAAAAUGAAGGAAGGUGCAAUAUAUAUAUAGAGAAAAAAAA
This 1696-nucleotide unclassified non-coding RNA is filed under the name Hevea brasiliensis (rubber tree). Lineage: Eukaryota; Viridiplantae; Streptophyta; Magnoliopsida; Malpighiales; Euphorbiaceae. The record is from RNAcentral.